ACCUCUGAUUGGUCAGGUGGUUGAUGACUCUUACCUGAUUGGUCAGGUGGUUGAUGACUCUUACCUGAUUGGUCAGGUGGUUGAUGACUCUUACUCUGAUUGGUCAGGUGGUUGAUGACUCUUACCUCUGAUUGGUCAGGUGGUUGAUGACUCUUACCUGAUUGGUCAGGUGCUUGAUGACUCUUACCUCUGAUUGGUCAGGUGGUUGAUGACUCUUACCUGAUUGGUCAGGUGGUUGAUGACUCUUAUCUGUGAUUGGUCAGGUGGUUGAUGACUCUUAUCUGUGAUUGGUCAGGUGGUUGAUGACUCUUACCUGAUUGGUCAGGUGCUUGAUGACUCUUAUCUGAUUGGACAGGUGGUUGAUGACUCUUAUCUCUGAUUGGUCAGGUGGUUGAUGACUCUUACCUCUGAUUGGUCAGGUGGUUGAUGACUCUUAUCUGAUUGGACAGGUGGUUGAUGACUCUUAUCUCUGAUUGGUCAGGUGGUUGAUGACUCUUACCUCUGAUUGGUCAGGUGGUUGAUGACUCAUCUCUGAUUGGUCAGGUGGUUGAUGACUCUUAUCUGAUUGGUCAGGUGGUUGAUGACUCUUAUCUGUGAUUGGUCAGGUGGUUGAUGACUCUUAUCUGAUUGGUCAGGUGGAUGAUGACUCUUAUCUGAUUGGUCAGGUGGUUGAUGACUCAUCUCUGAUUGGUCAGGUGGUUGAUGACUCUUAUCUGUGAUUGGUCAGGUGGUUGAUGACUCUUAUCUGUGAUUGGUCAGGUGGUUGAUGACUCUUACCUGAUUGGUCAGGUGCUUGAUGACUCUUAUCUGAUUGGACAGGUGGUUGAUGACUCUUAUCUCUGAUUGGUCAGGUGGUUGAUGACUCUUACCUCUGAUUGGUCAGGUGGUUGAUGACUCUUAUCUGAUUGGUCAGGUGGUUGUUGACUCUUAUCUGAUUGGUCAGGUGGUUGAUGACUCUUAUCUGAU
Molecule: long non-coding RNA, 966 nt
Organism: Austrofundulus limnaeus
Lineage: Eukaryota; Metazoa; Chordata; Actinopteri; Cyprinodontiformes; Rivulidae
Exons: 3
Source: RefSeq, a predicted model, not a curated record